Molecule: ribosomal RNA, 253 nt
Filed under: uncultured bacterium
Lineage: Bacteria
Description: partial 16S ribosomal RNA
Rfam family: Bacterial small subunit ribosomal RNA
Source: RNAcentral
UACGGAGGGUGCAAGCGUUAAUCGGAAUUACUGGGCGUAAAGCGCACGCAGGUGGCUGAGUCAGUCGAUUGUGAAAGCCCUGGGCUUAACCUGGGAAUUGCAGUCGAUACUACUCAGCUAGAGUAUGGGAGAGGGUAGUGGAAUUCCCGGUGUAGCGGUGAAAUGCGUAGAUAUCGGGAGGAACAUCGAUGGCGAAGGCAAUCACCUGGGCCUGAACUGACACUGAGACACGAAAGCGUGGGUAGCAAACAGG